This 314-nucleotide ribosomal RNA is filed under the name Archaeosporaceae sp. Its description in RNAcentral is "LSU rRNA". The record is from RNAcentral. Lineage: Eukaryota; Fungi; Glomeromycota; Glomeromycetes; Archaeosporales; Archaeosporaceae.
AAACGAUUGAAGUCAGUCAUGCCAGUGAGAAAUCAGCUUACAGGCUACUGUGAGUGCACUUUUUCGCAAGGCAGGUUAACAUCGGUUUUUGUUGCGUCAUAAUGAUUGUAGGAAGGUGGCUCCUUCGGGAGUGUUAUAGCCUACUUUAGAUGGCGCGACGAGGACUGAGGAUUGCAGCGAAUGCCUUUGGCUACGGAUCUUUUCUCUGUCGAUCUUCGAUUGAUCGUCAGCUUGCUGACGAGCGGUUGAUAGGUUUGCAAUAGGAUGGAAUCCGAUAAAUUCGCUAAGGAUGUUGACGUAAUGGCUUUAAACGA